Molecule: ribosomal RNA, 497 nt
Filed under: uncultured bacterium
Lineage: Bacteria
Description: partial 16S ribosomal RNA
Rfam family: Bacterial small subunit ribosomal RNA
Source: RNAcentral
GAUGAACGCUGGCGGCGUGCCUAAUACAUGCAAGUCCAGCGAACAGACGAGGAGCUUGCUCCUCUGACGCUAGCGGCGGACGGGUGAGUAACACGUGGAUAACCUACCUAUAAGACUGGGAUAACUUCGGGAAACCGGAGCUAAUACCGGAUAAUAUAUUGAACCGCAUGGUUCAAUAGUGAAAGACGGUUUUGCUGUCACUUAUAGAUGGAUCCGCGCCGCAUUAGCUAGUUGGUAAGGUAACGGCUUACCAAGGCAACGAUGCGUAGCCGACCUGAGAGGGUGAUCGGCCACACUGGAACUGAGACACGGUCCAGACUCCUACGGGAGGCAGCAGUAGGGAAUCUUCCGCAAUGGGCGAAAGCCUGACGGAGCAACGCCGCGUGAGUGAUGAAGGUCUUCGGAUCGUAAAACUCUGUUAUUAGGGAAGAACAAAUGUGUAAGUAACUAUGCACGUCUUGACGGUACCUAAUCAGAAAGCCACGGCUAACUACGUG